UGGUAAAGUGAAGAAAAAAUCCAUAAAAAAUAAAAAUUAGGAUAAAUAAAAGAAACUGAGGCAAGUUAUUUUACAUCAUUUUAUUAUGUUUUGAGUUAUUUGCAGUGAUAAUUUGUGCAGCUUAGGUAGUUUUAGGCUGAAAAUUCUUGUACCCUCUAAUAAUUUCCCCUCAGAGAUUUUUUUUCACCCUUUUGGAAGUUUGAGGAUUAUAUAUCUUCAAACUACUAAAACAAACCUAUCUAUUCAAUUAGAAACUUAGGAUAGACUGAGGAUAGAGACACUACACACCAGGUAGAAUCCUAUCUCUAAUGUCCUUAAUAGUGACUGCAAGUAGCCCUUUAUUUAUCAAUAAUCACAUGCUAUCAACAAACAAAUGAGUAUAGAUAGAGAUAGAAAAGCAAAAAAAAAAAAAGGCAUUCCGGGUUGUCGAGCCUAACCACCCCUCUUUUUUCUCUUCUUUUUCUGCAGCAUCUAAGCUUUGUUGUAAUGUUUCAAAUUUGAAAUCACAUUUCAUAAAAAAAUUGAGAUCACAUAAAUGUCUUAAUGCCUGAUGAUCGAUGCGGUAAUGAAUAAAUUUGUGUUUGAAUGAAAUUAUUGAUGAAUAAUAUUAAUGAUUAAAUGAUAUUAAUGAGUUUUAUAAAAUAGUAAGCACAUUUACUCUGGCAAUUUGAAAAAAGGAAAAAAAAACAAAAACAGCUGUUUCGGUCAGUUUUGGCUAAAACUGACCAGAACCAACCGAAACCGACCGAAACUGACAGAAACUUGAAACUCUCUUGUAACACAAGCCUUCUAUUCCGUAAAACUGGUCUUACUUUUGUGAACAAUUGGAGAGAUUUUGCUUCAUGUAGAUAGACAUCAAUAAGAAGGUAAGGAAGAGCAUCACAUGUUUUGAAACUGGUUUUGAAUGUUUUGUUUUAGCUCCACCCUAAAGAAGUUUCACUUUCUAAACCUUCUAAAAGUAUGUGCAACAACUCAUUGGGAAUAUUGAAUAAGUUAUCAUCAGCUGAAAUCUUACGAACUUCAGUACUAAGCCUUAACUAAGAGGCUUUACCUGUCUCUCUGGGUCUGGUUUUAUGAUCCUCAUGUAUUGGGUUGUGCUCUGAUCACCAUUAAUGUUUGUGUUCUUUUUUUAGUUUUGUAACUUUUGGGUGAAUUUCAGAUUUCAUUAACUGGAAAAGAGACCUGGAGUCGUCAUCUCUGUUGUAUCUACCCUUGACAUACCUUAGAGGACUUGCAUCCUAAAUUUACCAGAUAAAUUUAGGGAAGGAUGUCUGCUAAACCAUGGAUACUUACAAAUCACAUCCCUUUCACUGUUUUCGCUCCCCUCUAACCAAAAAAAAAAAAACACAAGAACUGCUAAGGGACAAGGGAAAACAGUGCUGCUUUUCCCAGGUCGAUGUUUGGAAUUAUAUCAAUCUAUAGAAAGGAAAGUCACAAAUUAUUGUGCUUGGUUUUUCAAUACUGAAGAUAAAAGGAAGCAUUUUAUGGACAUCUGAACCUGGAAUAUUUAUUCUCCUUUUUUGUUUAACUUCUUGGUUUUCAUAUAUGAUGUUGAUCUAUUAACUCCCUGCUUAUUUCAGGUCCAAGCUCUUGUUGGUUUCGAAAAGACCAUCAAGCAUCUUGAUGAACAUUUAGUGGAAAUUGGCACAAAGGUUUGCAAAUAACCAUGAUCUUGGUCAGCCAUAUGAACUUGUCAAUUUUCCUCCACUUUUUAAAUGAUUUGGUCAAAAUUUGCAGGGAAUCACUAAACCUAAAGAGGUGAGGAAGUUCAAAGGGGAAGGCAUGCCUUUGCACCUAAGUACAAAGAAAGGAGAUUUGUAUGUGACGUAUGAAGUUUUGUUCCCCAAGUCACUAACCGAAGAUCAGAAGACUAGGAUCAAGGCAAUUCUUUCUUAAAGCUGGCGUUCUCUCCAUUGGUACUACUUGGUUCUCCUUUGUACUUUGACUAGGUUUAAUUGGAAGGUGUACAGCCCCUGGAAUUUUCCCAAGUGGCUCCUAUUUGAAUGAUGUCAUUGACUGUAAUCCUUGUUGGCUGCCUGUUUCCAUAGGAUGCUGUCACCUCUUCUCUUUUUUUCCCCCUUUCUUUUUUUUUAAAAUUUUUUUGGGCAAUAGAUGUACUUUAGAAAAGGAAACUGAUUAAUUGGAAUUUGAUCCUGAUCUUUCUCUCCCUUAUCUCAACUAGGGCGAAAGAAAAACAUAUAUUAUAGAAUCAUGCUUGGUUAUGUAAUUCCAUUUCCACGAGACAAUUUAUGUGGACACUGCUCUCAAAAUGUAUCCAAAAUGAUGAAUUAAGAUUUUCCUUGUUAUAUUUUGUUCAUUGUUAUAUUCAUUGUUUGGCUGGUUGAUAAUCUUGUUCUUCCCAUUUAUUCUCUUUUUAUUUCUCUUUGUUGGUCUAAAAAUCCUAUUAGUUAAUGUAGAACAUGCCGUGUCAUCCUUUGUAGUAUGACAUUGAUGGUUUUGCUACAUUAUGAUCUUAUUAUGUCUCCUUUGAGAUGUGGAUAUGUAAGUAGAUUUAGGCUCAAUGCUGAAAGAUCUUAUUGAACUCCUGUUAGCGAUCAGCAUCCAGGUGACAAACCAGUCCCCAAAUCAUGAAAUCAUCUUGAAAAAGGGAUGAGUUAUCUUUGAAGACCACUGAUUUGUUGUUCGCUGGCAGCUCUAAUCUCUAUUGAAUGGUGCCAUAUUGAUAUAUUUUUUGAGAUAGAACCUGAGAUAGAAUCCUGAUCUCCUAGCAUUCAAAGCACUCAAGGGCAAGGGUGCUGAUAUGCGAAGAUGCUUUGGUACAUAUUUUGUAAUCUAUCCACCAGCCGGCUGCUGAUGCCCAACUCGUUCUUGCCAGGGGGAUGGACAAAUUAUCCAACAUUUAACCUGCAUAGCCUGUGUACUGCUGAUUGCUUAUUUAACCCUCUUGCCUGCAUUGCAAGACCAUAUUUAUUAGAGUUGUUUGUAUUAUUUGUUUCUGUUUUUUUUUCCUUUUCCUUCUUAUAGCUGUUUAGGUAAAAUCAAAUAAAUAUAAAGNNNNNNNNNNNNNNNNNNNNUUAUUGUCAUGCAGUAAUUUUAAUGAGGGAUCAGUGCUAUGAGCCCGCAUAUUCCUGCGAAAUCAAAAGAACAUGGCGUUGCAUAGUUUAGCAUGUCAUUAACUGGCAGAUAGAUUAACAGAAAACCUACAGUAAUGAGUUUUUUGAUGCUUCUUUUUUUCUUAUGUAGUUUUUCUUUUUUAGUGGGAAAGAAGGGGCACUGCUGGUAUUUCCUUGUUGAUGCCAAACUUAUUUUUAUUGAUCAUACAGUGAUUGCAGUGUAGUUGCUUUAGUAUUGGAGACAUAGAUGCCUAUAGCCUACAAUGCCUGCAAUAUUGACCUUAUAAAUUAUCAAUAUAAUCUACAUGGUGAAGUUUGACUUCCAGGGAUUUUCUGAUGCUUGCCUAUUCUAUUUUCUCUCUUGGUUUGCCUUGAGGCAUGAGCUUCAUAAAAUUUUUACCUCUGAAGUUUUUGUUUUCUGCCACUUAUAAAGAAAUACUACACUUUCCAGAUUCUUUGGGCUUCAUAUCUGUUUGUAACCAGGAUUUUAAAACUCGGUUUGGUCUCCAAGUUGAGCUUUGGUUUCGGUAGUUUCACUCUAAGUUUCAAAGCUUUGGUAAAGUGAAGAAAAAAUCCAUAAAAAAUAAAAAUUAGGAUAAAUAAAAGAAACUGAGGCAAGUUAUUUUACAUCAUUUUAUUAUGUUUUGAGUUAUUUGCAGUGAUAAUUUGUGCAGCUUAGGUAGUUUUAGGCUGAAAAUUCUUGUACCCUCUAAUAAUUUCCCCUCAGAGAUUUUUUUUCACCCUUUUGGAAGUUUGAGGAUUAUAUAUCUUCAAACUACUAAAACAAACCUAUCUAUUCAAUUAGAAACUUAGGAUAGACUGAGGAUAGAGACACUACACACCAGGUAGAAUCCUAUCUCUAAUGUCCUUAAUAGUGACUGCAAGUAGCCCUUUAUUUAUCAAUAAUCACAUGCUAUCAACAAACAAAUGAGUAUAGAUAGAGAUAGAAAAGCAAAAAAAAAAAAAGGCAUUCCGGGUUGUCGAGCCUAACCACCCCUCUUUUUUCUCUUCUUUUUCUGCAGCAUCUAAGCUUUGUUGUAAUGUUUCAAAUUUGAAAUCACAUUUCAUAAAAAAAUUGAGAUCACAUAAAUGUCUUAAUGCCUGAUGAUCGAUGCGGUAAUGAAUAAAUUUGUGUUUGAAUGAAAUUAUUGAUGAAUAAUAUUAAUGAUUAAAUGAUAUUAAUGAGUUUUAUAAAAUAGUAAGCACAUUUACUCUGGCAAUUUGAAAAAAGGAAAAAAAAACAAAAACAGCUGUUUCGGUCAGUUUUGGCUAAAACUGACCAGAACCAACCGAAACCGACCGAAACUGACAGAAACUUGAAACUCUCUUGUAACACAAGCCUUCUAUUCCGUAAAACUGGUCUUACUUUUGUGAACAAUUGGAGAGAUUUUGCUUCAUGUAGAUAGACAUCAAUAAGAAGGUAAGGAAGAGCAUCACAUGUUUUGAAACUGGUUUUGAAUGUUUUGUUUUAGCUCCACCCUAAAGAAGUUUCACUUUCUAAACCUUCUAAAAGUAUGUGCAACAACUCAUUGGGAAUAUUGAAUAAGUUAUCAUCAGCUGAAAUCUUACGAACUUCAGUACUAAGCCUUAACUAAGAGGCUUUACCUGUCUCUCUGGGUCUGGUUUUAUGAUCCUCAUGUAUUGGGUUGUGCUCUGAUCACCAUUAAUGUUUGUGUUCUUUUUUUAGUUUUGUAACUUUUGGGUGAAUUUCAGAUUUCAUUAACUGGAAAAGAGACCUGGAGUCGUCAUCUCUGUUGUAUCUACCCUUGACAUAC
Molecule: long non-coding RNA, 4849 nt
Filed under: Phoenix dactylifera (date palm)
Lineage: Eukaryota; Viridiplantae; Streptophyta; Magnoliopsida; Arecales; Arecaceae
Description: long non-coding RNA (PDAC_LNC002960)
Source: RNAcentral